RNAcentral lists this long non-coding RNA (1010 nucleotides) under Cricetulus griseus (Chinese hamster). Its description in RNAcentral is "lncRNA (ENSCGRG00015034763.1)". The record is from RNAcentral. Lineage: Eukaryota; Metazoa; Chordata; Mammalia; Rodentia; Cricetidae.
GACUGCUGCCACGCUGGCUGGCUAGGUUGCUCUGUGCUCCCGGCUCCCAGCCAACCCUCUGUGGCUGAACUGCUCAGAACUGUCCGUCCAGCUUGGAGACUCACACAGACCUCCUACAGUUUUACCACCAUGUGCUCAGGACCAGCUGAGACGUGUCCAGAAGUCUUGAACCGAGUAGGGCUCGGCUUUUAGCAGGGUCUGUGCAGCAGCCUUAAAGCCUCACCUCAUUUAGUGGUUGCGGCCGAAAGGCUGUAUACUCUCUUAGGUAAGUGUAGCCACUUCUGUGACCUCUCCCCACAGCUGCCACUCACCACUGUCACACGCUGUGACUAACUGAAAACCUGUGUCACCCACUGGUCAAAGAUAGUUAUUGCAUCUGGAGUAGAAAUCAGGUAAAAUUAUGGAGGAAUAUUUAUCAUUUGCUAAAAUUGGUAAUAUUUUUGCUUAUUACGUGAAUUCAAUGUUUAAGGAGGAUGCUAAUUUGCCAAUUACUGGCCUAUAUGCCAUAAUGGCAGUUAGCUUGCUGGUACAAAUAAUAUUACUAGCCAGAGGACUCAGGAAUAGGAAUAAGGAUAACCUCAUCACCUGCUUACAGGAGAUAAUAGCUUUAUGCAGUGAGGUUUUGGAGGACAGAUUAGGUCACAAUUGUACAGCAAGUGGAACAGAAAUUGGAUGAUAAGCUUGGCUCUGUGUUCAAUACGCUAAAGACAGAGCUGUCUGAUGAGAUGCAACAUAUUUAUGAUAAGAUAAACACAGAGAGAUUCUCCUUGUCUGAGGCCUUAGAGGCUAGGCUGUCAGAAGACCAUAAUGAGCUAAAGAAUAUCUGUAGCCAGCUAGAAACUCAGAUAGGCAAUGUUACCCAGCAACUAGAUGCAACUGUGCAAAAUACCCAGGAUAGGGUUGAAGAAUUGGACAAUGCCAUUCAAUCAAUUAUUGAAGCAUCCAAGGUAGCAGAUCAGAAAUUUGAGUCUAGAUUUGAAUGUUUGGAAGAUAAUUUACAGUACAGGGCU